CCAACUAAAAAGUGACCCAAGUAUUAAGAUCCCAACCAGCGAAUCCCGACUGUAGUGCAAUCAAAAGCUUUCAUAUUGGUCUGUUGAUUGCGCUAUUCAAAUUAAUUCUUGAAAAAAAUGUUGCUUAGGACCUUUUGAAAAGUUAAGCGAGAAUUAUGUCAAUCAAAUCAAUUAUUGAUUGUAGACUCCGUGAUCAAAAGACAGUGCGGGGCUCGCGUACACUUCGUUUUCGGAAACUAAGGCCUGGAUAUUCUACCAUUUCUCCUACAAAUACGCUAUGCAGCAGGAUGUGCUGAGUCCCAAUUGGCUAUCGCAGAAACAACGAGUAGCAGCAGCGAUUUCUCCACUACCGGUUGAGAGGAUUAUGGAGAUUCAGCUGCGCAGGAAGCAGGACAAAGUCCGAAGGAUGGAGACCAAAUUGAGACUGGCGCAAGAGGUAUACGAGCGGUAUGAACAACAAACGCAGACUACGGCCUACUACAACGAUAGUUCGAGUUCGAGUACGGCUGCCACGAUGAAAACAACAAAUGGAAGGUUUACGUGGCGCCAAGGAACGAUAUUUCAGGUGGCAUGGUGGUUUGGUCGUUUCGAGUAAUAUAGAUCCGUUGAUCAGUCAGUGGAACUGAAGGGCUUCAGAUAUCAGCGACGAGAGCUAAACAUUGCUGAACGCCGUCUACAACGUACUCUCUCAAAUUUUAUGCCUUCGACUAAUACCUAUUGCAAGAGAGUUCGUGGGGCAGCAUCAGGCGGGAUUAUGGGCGGACCAGACCAGGUGUUCACCGUAUGCCAGAUAUCGCAGAAAUGUCUUGAAUACAAUGUACCCACGCAUCAUCUAUUCAUCGACUUCAAAGCCGCUAACACACGAACGCGGAUUUCCGGAUAAGCUGAUACGGUUGAUCAAGGACGAUGGAUUGGCUGAUGUGCAUAGUUAGAGUUUCGGGAGCAUUCUCGAGUCCCUUUGAAAUGCGCAAGAUGAUGGCCUUUCGUGCCUGCUAUUCAACAACGCUUUGGAGAGAGUCAUACGAAGAUCAGGCAUUGACACGAGUGGUUUCUAUUUUCACGAAGCCCAUUCAGUUAUUUGGUUUCGCCGACGACAUUGAUGUUAUGGCAUGUAACUUUGAGAAGCCUACAUCAGACAUGAUAGGAAGAGGUUCAAGAAAAGACAAUAAGCCACCAACCACGAGUUUGUUCCGGUGGCGACGAAAAUGAGAUGGUAUAAGAAUGAUCGAGUAGAGUUCGCCGGCGUACCGAACUUUUUUUACUAUCUACAAAACGCUUAUUUGACCUAUAGUCCUCACAAGAUCUGGACGAUGCUUGGAGUUUUCGAAAAGAAAAUGUUGCAUACUAUCUACCGUGGGGUGCAGAUGGCGGGCGAUACGUGAAGGAGGAGAAUGAACCACGAGUUACAUCAGCGAGCAAGGUGGAUCGAUCAGGUGAUGUGCGAACCCUCCGUAGACUGCGUGGUUGGGGACGAGCAGCCAUGGAUCGAGUGGAGAAGAUUUUUAUGAACUGCUUGUAGUCUAAGAAAAUAAAUAAAUCUGCGACGAGAGAUCCGUUUGUGCAGGGAUCUUACAAAUGACAUCUAAAUUAUAUCCUACAGUACCCAGAGUUUGAAAAAGGAAAAAGUCGUGCAUUUAUUCUUGGAUGAAGAACAUAUUCACCCUUAUCCUCGUUUACACCAGUAAAAUUAAACGGGGAAACGAUUGGAACGAACUGCAUUCGUUCGAAAGUUUUAUUCGUCCUCAAACAAGAUAAUUGCCAAUGGAAUUAGUCCUUUGGUCAUCCUGGGCCCGAAAAAAAACCUGUGGUUCUUAACAUCGAUUUCGUAGGCUCUCGCUCUCAUCGAUGCAUACUAUAGCCAUUUAU
Molecule: long non-coding RNA, 1866 nt
Organism: Armigeres subalbatus
Lineage: Eukaryota; Metazoa; Arthropoda; Insecta; Diptera; Culicidae
Exons: 3
Source: RefSeq, a predicted model, not a curated record